UGGGGAAUUUUCCACAAUGGGCGAAAGCCUGAUGGAGCAACGCCGCGUGUGUGAUGAAGGUCUUCGGAUCGUAAAGCACUUUCGACCGGGACGAAAAACCUCUGGCUAACAUCCAGGGGCCUGACGGUACCGGGAGAAGAAGCACCGGCUAACUCUGUGCCAGCAGCCGCGGUAAUACAGAGGGUGCAAGCGUUGUUCGGAAUUAUUGGGCGUAAAGCGCGUGUAGGCGGCUUGGCAAGUCAGAUGCGAAAGCCCAUGGCUUAACCAUAGAAGUGCGUCUGAAACUGCUGAGCUUGAGUGCCGGAGAGGAUGGCGGAAUUCCGCAAGUAGAGGUGAAAUUCGUAGAUAUGCGGAGGAACACCGGUGGCGAAGGCGGCCAUCUGGACGGCAACUGACGCUGAGACGCGAAAGCGGGGGGAGCAAACA
Molecule: ribosomal RNA, 426 nt
Filed under: uncultured bacterium
Lineage: Bacteria
Description: bacterial SSU rRNA
Rfam family: Bacterial small subunit ribosomal RNA
Source: RNAcentral